RNAcentral lists this ribosomal RNA (467 nucleotides) under uncultured bacterium. Its description in RNAcentral is "partial 16S ribosomal RNA". It matches the Rfam family "Bacterial small subunit ribosomal RNA", at positions 28 to 506 of the family's 1533-position model. The record is from RNAcentral.
GACGAACGCUGGCGGCGUGCUUAACACAUGCAAGUCGAACGGAAAGGCCCUGCUUUUGUGGGGUGCUCGAGUGGCGAACGGGUGAGUAACACGUGAGUAACCUGCCCUUGACUUUGGGAUAACUUCAGGAAACUGGGGCUAAUACCGGAUAGGAGCUCCUGCUGCAUGGUGGGGGUUGGAAAGUUUCGGCGGUUGGGGAUGGACUCGCGGCUUAUCAGCUUGUUGGUGGGGUAGUGGCUUACCAAGGCUUUGACGGGUAGCCGGCCUGAGAGGGUGACCGGCCACAUUGGGACUGAGAUACGGCCCAGACUCCUACGGGAGGCAGCAGUGGGGAAUAUUGCACAAUGGGCGGAAGCCUGACGCAGCAACGCCGCGUGCGGGAUGACGGCCUUCGGGUUGUAAACCGCUUUCGCCUGUGACGAAGCGUGAGUGACGGUAAUGGGUAAAGAAGCACCGGCUAACUACGU